GAAUAACUUGACAAUAAGUAGAGCAAAGGUUUUAUUUCAAGUAGCAAUUGCGAUUUUAUAAUGUAAAAUGAUAUGGCGAAAGAGAGAAAAAUUAAGACGAGAGAGAUGGCGUUGUCGGGCAUACGAUAACUUUUUGCAUCUUCGUGGCACGUAAGCGAUGCGAGUCAUCUGUGUCUCGUCGAGGUGCUUGCUUUCGCAGUGUAAUUUCCGUUUUAAUUUCUUUUGGCUACUUGAUAAUUAAGAUUGAUGACAAGAGAUAUUUUUUACGGAUAAAAUUGCCUGCGUUUACCGAUAACAUGAAACUGUGUCUUGUAAUAGCACAUAUCAUACUGGUAGCUACCAAUCUCUGGGUCACGGCGCACUUCCACGAAGAAGUAUCCGAAGAUAAUGAAUUUGCAGAAUUUGAGGACUUUGAAGAGGACAAACCGAGUGUAACCAUUGAACAUGCACCCGAAGCGUCACAAUGCCAAGAGGCAGACUCGAGUCAGGACUUUGAGGAGGACGAUGUCAUAGUCGUCGAUGGGGAUAACGAGUUCGAGCACUUUCACGAUGAGGAAGAGUUUGAGGGAGCGGACGUUGCAGGCGGCAACGCUGGCGCAAAAAUCGACGAGCCUUCCACAUUGACCAUCACUGACGUUCCGUUACACCUGCGAGACAGAUGGGACAGCUUCUACCUAGAAAUACUGAUGAUUACUGGACUAUUGGUAUAUUUUAUAAAUUAUAUAGUAGGACGUUCCAAAAAUGCACGCAUAGCCGAACAGUGGUUAACGGAUCACAAGCAACUGUUGUUGGAUAACUUCUCUCUUGUCGGUUACUCAAAUGAGAAUGCGAGCGAUAAUGAUUUAAUGAAGGAGAGCGAGUCGCAGUACAGUCUCUACUGUUCUGGACGCGUCGGGUGUGACGCGAUGCUAAUUGAAUUGAAAUUAAUAAAGAGGCAAGAUUUAGUCGCCGUACUGGCGCAACUAGUACGCCCACAAAACGAUCAAGCGCACAUACACGUGGAGCUCUCGAAAGACGAGAUAGAUAAUUUCGUUUUAGCGAUCGCUACGAAACGGGCAGCGGUGCACUUGGUGCGCGAUAUGGCCGACAUUAGCGUCUACUGCCCAGAGAAACGAUCUGGAGAGAAGUUCGGUCUUCCAUCGGGUUUCUACGUAAUGUCGGAGAUCGCCGAAGCGACGUCAGCUGUAUUAGACACCAGGGUUCUGCAAGCUUUCACAAAGUUUGCACCUUACAUAGAUUAUAUCCAUAUUAGUGAUCAGUAUAGCGGACGUAAGCAACAAGAAGAUACUACUCAGUUGACAAUGCCGGAAGUAAAAAAGGUAUUGUUGGUGGGCCUGAAUAUAAGUCUCAAGGGCCGCACGUGUAACGCGGAGACUCAAGAGAAACUGAAACUUUUACUUCAACUUACAUUUUAUCUAGUCGAUAAGCUGCGACGUUUCAAGUUAUCGAAAGAGGGGAAAAAUAAAGCGGACAAGAAUCGACUGAGAGUGGAGGAAGCCUUCUUGAAAACGACGCAUGCCGCGAGGGCCGAAGCUGCGGCACAAAGGCGAGAGGAGCGUCGGAGAGUCGAGAAGGAGAAAAUCCUGCAAGAAGAGGAUCCCGAUAAACAGCGCAAAUGGGAGGAGAAGGAACAACGGAGACUGGCGAAGAAACGUGCACCCAGGAUGAAGCAGCUCAAGGUGAAAGCUUUAUGACCGGUUACUAUGAAAACCGAGUAGACUGCGGACUCGUAAUCGUUACUGAAAUAUUUGACAGAAAAAUUCGUAACUGCAUUGGAAAAUGUGUAUAUAUACUUGAUCAGAGUUACCUACUGGAUACGCUAACUUAUAUCUCUCUUCAUGGCAUAUUCCGAUUUACGUAUUUACUCAGUGUUCUUACACGAGGUAUCGAACUUAUUAAAGAAAGUACAAACGACUGAAGAAGAGUAUCCUGCGAGUUGUACAUGAUACUUCCUGUUGAAGCAAGAAUUACAAUAAAAUUUAGUGUGUACUAUAUACACGUAUGUAUACAUACGUGCGAGAUGAACUGUCGUACCUCUUUUGACGCUACGUACCAACGAAGCCGCGAUAAGAUAGCGGUAUAAAUCAUUGCUCUUCGACUAACAUUUAACACGUGUUUCUUUUUAGCCAACUUUGAAAUAGCGUUCAUGCUCAAUUAAUACUCCUAUUGAUACUCUAAGAAACUUUCUUUUUCAUAUCCAUGAUACGUUACUACUUAUUAUACAUUAUCUCAAUGGUGAAUGUAAUUGUAUAAAGAUCGAAACUUAAAUUGAUCCUAUAAAGAGAGGGUGUUAGAUAGGUAUACAUUAUUUAUUUUAUAUAAUAAUAAUAAUAUAUAACGAUUAAAUGUUUAUUUUUUAAAAACCAUGCGUGUUAGACAGUGUUUAAUUCAUAAACGUGUACGAUCGUUAUUAAGUCAAUAUAAAUAUUAGAAAUAUAUAUAUAUCACAUUUAAA
This 2455-nucleotide unclassified non-coding RNA is filed under the name Ooceraea biroi (clonal raider ant). RNAcentral describes it as "coiled-coil domain-containing protein 47, transcript variant X3". Lineage: Eukaryota; Metazoa; Arthropoda; Insecta; Hymenoptera; Formicidae. The record is from RNAcentral.